GACGAACGCUGGCGGCGUGCUUAACACAUGCAAGUCGAGCGGUAAGGCCCUUUCGGGGGUACACGAGCGGCGAACGGGUGAGUAACACGUGGGUGACCUGCCCUUAGCUCUGGGAUAAGCCUGGGAAACUGGGUCUAAUACCGGAUACGGCCGGAAGGCGAAAGGUUUACCGCAGAGGGAUCGGCCCGCGUCCGAUUAGCUUGUUGGUGAGGUAAUGGCUCACCAAGGCAUCGAUCGGUAGCUGGUCNGAGAGGAUGGCCAGCCACAUUGGGACUGAGACACGGCCCAAACUCCUACGGGAGGCAGCAGUGGGGAAUAUUGGACAAUGGGCGCAAGCCUGAUCCAGCCAUGCCGCGUGAGUGAUGACGGCCUUAGGGUUGUAAAGCUCUUUUGGCGGGGACGAUGAUGACGGUACCCGCAGAAUAAGCCCCGGCUAACUUCGUGCCAGCAGCCGCGGUAAU
RNAcentral lists this ribosomal RNA (461 nucleotides) under uncultured bacterium. RNAcentral's name for it is "bacterial SSU rRNA". It matches the Rfam family "Bacterial small subunit ribosomal RNA", at positions 28 to 524 of the family's 1533-position model. The record is from RNAcentral.